CUACAGAACGAACGCUGGCGGCAGGCCUAACACAUGCAAGUCGAGCGAGGUAGCAAUACCUAGCGGCGGACGGGUGAGUAACGCGUGGGAACGUACCCUUUGCUACGGAAUAGCCCCGGGAAACUGGGAGUAAUACCGUAUGUGCCCUUCGGGGGAAAGAUUUAUCGGCAAAGGAUCGGCCCGCGUUGGAUUAGGUAGUUGGUGGGGUAAUGGCCUACCAAGGCGACGAUCAAUAGCUGGCGUGAGAGCGCGACCAGCCACACUGGAACUGAGACACGGUCCAGACUCCUACGGGAGGCAGCAGUAGGGAAUAUUGGACAAUGGGCGAAAGCCUGAUCCAGCCAUGCCGCGUGAUAGAUGAAGGCCCUCUGGGUUGUAAAUAUCUUUUAUCUGGGAAGAAACUCCUCUAUUCUUAGAGGCCUGACGGUACCAGAGGAAUAAGCACCGGCUAACUCCGUG
Molecule: ribosomal RNA, 459 nt
Filed under: uncultured bacterium
Lineage: Bacteria
Description: bacterial SSU rRNA
Rfam family: Bacterial small subunit ribosomal RNA
Source: RNAcentral